AGUGGGAAAGAAAGCCAUGGGGAUCAUAUUCAUCAGAUGUUAAAGCUCAUCAGACAAAUGUCUUCUUCACUGCAGCCUCAACUAAGCAGAGCUUUUCAGUGGUGAGAACCACAGCAGGCUUAGCUGGACCCAAAAUCAUUCGGUUGUGUCUUCUCAGGAGGCUUUGUCACCCCACUCCUCUGCUGGGACCACAGGAGCUUCAGUAUUGCAUAAGCAACCUCCUCCACCUACAAAAGCAGCCCCUGCUUGCAACAGAGCAGAAGCUGGGAGGUAUCAAGCCUGAGAAAACUCCAGCCAUGGCCUUUCAUCUGUGCCAUCUUGGUCCCUGGCUCACCCCUUCGCUGAUCUGAAGCAGUUAUGUGCUCAGUGGCUAAAGUGACACCUUGAAAUGCAGAGAAAGGAGAGGUAAAUGUAUUAUUUAGCUGUAGGAGCAGCUAUUUUUAAGGAGCAUAACAUAUAAAACCUUAAUAAAGAAAAGAUAUUUCA
Molecule: long non-coding RNA, 486 nt
Organism: Pezoporus flaviventris
Lineage: Eukaryota; Metazoa; Chordata; Aves; Psittaciformes; Psittacidae
Exons: 2
Source: RefSeq, a predicted model, not a curated record